Molecule: ribosomal RNA, 532 nt
Filed under: uncultured bacterium
Lineage: Bacteria
Description: bacterial SSU rRNA
Rfam family: Bacterial small subunit ribosomal RNA
Source: RNAcentral
UACCAGGUCUUGACAUCCAGUGCAAACCUAAGAGAUUAGGUGUUCCCUUCGGGGACGCUGAGACAGGUGGUGCAUGGCUGUCGUCAGCUCGUGUCGUGAGAUGUUGGGUUAAGUCCCGCAACGAGCGCAACCCUUGUCAUUAGUUGCCAUCAUUAAGUUGGGCACUCUAAUGAGACUGCCGGUGACAAACCGGAGGAAGGUGGGGAUGACGUCAAGUCAUCAUGCCCCUUAUGACCUGGGCUACACACGUGCUACAAUGGACGGUACAACGAGAAGCGAACCUGCGAAGGCAAGCGGAUCUCUUAAAGCCGUUCUCAGUUCGGACUGUAGGCUGCAACUCGCCUACACGAAGCUGGAAUCGCUAGUAAUCGCGGAUCAGCACGCCGCGGUGAAUACGUUCCCGGGCCUUGUACACACCGCCCGUCACACCAUGAGAGUCUGUAACACCCAAAGCCGGUGGGAUAACCUUUAUAGGAGUCAGCCGUCUAAGGUAGGACAGAUGAUUAGGGUGAAGUCGUAACAAGGUAACCGU